Long non-coding RNA from Oncorhynchus keta (chum salmon), 1155 nucleotides. RefSeq lists it as uncharacterized. The record is from RefSeq and is a predicted model, not a curated record. Lineage: Eukaryota; Metazoa; Chordata; Actinopteri; Salmoniformes; Salmonidae. The transcript is spliced from 3 exons.
GGUAGACUGGAUCGGGACGCGUUCUGUUAGGUAGACUGGAUCGGGCCGCGUUCUGUUAGGUAGACUGGAUCGGGCUGCGUUCUGUUAGGUAGACUGGAUCGGGACGCGUUCUGUUAGGUAGACUGGAUCGGGCCGCGUUCUGUUAGGUAGACUGGAUCGGGCCGCGUUCUGUUAGGUAGACUGGAUCGGGACGCGUUCUGUUGGGUAGACUGGAUCGGGACGCGUUCUGUUAGGUAGACUGGAUCGGGCCGCGUUCUGUUAGGUAGACUGGAUCGGGCCGCGUUCUGUUAGGUAGACUGGAUCGGGCCGCGUUCUGUUAGGUAGACUGGAUCGGGACGCGUUCUGUUAGGUAGACUGGAUCGGGACGCGUUCUGUUAGGUAGACUGGAUCGGGACGCGUUCUGUUAGGUAGACUGGAUCGGGACGCGUUCUGUUAGGUAGACUGGAUCGGGACGCGUUCUGUUAGGUAGACUGGAUCGGGCCGCGUUCUGUUAGGUAGACUGGAUCGGGCCGCGUUCUGUUGUCCUCCUUUCCUGACCUGCUUUCACCCAACACAUCCCUCUAUGGCUGAUUACUGAAACUAACGGUUUGUAAUCAUUAAUUCAAUACCAGAUGUUGAAUAAUCCAUGAGUAGAUACGCUAAACUUCCAAUUUCCUGCCACUGAACAGCUUGUCAUAGAUGACUUAGACUGAGGUAGCCGACUCUGGUGCUAUAAAUACCCAGUUUGGGUUCCCUGGGUGGUGUUCGGCAUCAAACGGUAGAAAACUGAUUGAAAUGGGGAGAGACGACUAGAACUUGGCUCCAAUAAGACACAUUCAUUUUCUGUAUCAAAAUGUUUUGCGACGGUGUGCCCUAAUAAAUAUGACCCUAAUGAUUUGGUCCCUGGUCUUGAUGCACGUUGCCUCUGGCCCUGUCUGUUGAUUGGACCAUUAUAAUUUUUUUAUUUAUUUAUUUUUAUUUCACCUUUAUUUAACCAGGUAGGCUAGUUGAGAACAAGUUCUCAUUUGCAACUGCGGGCCAAGAUAAAGCAUAGCAGUGUGAACAGACAACACAGAGUUACACAUGGAGUAAACAAUUAACUAGUCAAUAACACAGUAGAAAAAAAUGGGCAAUCUAUAUACAAUGUGUGCAAAAGGCAUGAGGAGGUAGGCGAAU